Molecule: ribosomal RNA, 460 nt
Filed under: uncultured bacterium
Lineage: Bacteria
Description: partial 16S ribosomal RNA
Rfam family: Bacterial small subunit ribosomal RNA
Source: RNAcentral
CCUACUGGUGACAUCAUUGAGGCAUCUUGGUCAAUGGACGAGAGUCUGAACCAGCCAAGUAGCGUGAAGUCUUCCUUCCCUCUUUUUUUUCCCCUUCUUUUCUCUUUUCCUCCCACUUUCCCCUUUUGGGAUUUUGUAUGUACCAUAUGAAUAAGGAUCGUCUAACUCCGUGCCAGCCGCCUCGGUAAUACUGCGGCUCCUCGCGUUAUCCGGAUUUAUUGGGUUUAAAGGGAGCGUAGGUGGAUUGUUAAGUCAGUUGUGAAAGUUUGCGGCUCAACCGUAACAUUGAAGGGGAAACUGGCAGUCUUGAGUACAGUAGAGGUGGGCGGAAUUCGUGGUGUAGCGGUGAAAGGCUUAGAGAUACAGAAGAACUCAGAUUGAGAAGGCAGUUCAAGGGACGGCAAAUGACACUGAGGCUCGAAAGUGGGGGGAUCAAACAGGAGGAGAGAAAAAGGGAGUC